Molecule: ribosomal RNA, 871 nt
Filed under: uncultured bacterium
Lineage: Bacteria
Description: bacterial SSU rRNA
Rfam family: Bacterial small subunit ribosomal RNA
Source: RNAcentral
AUUGAACGCUGGCGGUAUGCUUAACACAUGCAAGUCGAACGGUAGCAGGCUUUCGGGCGCUGACGAGUGGCGGACGGGUGAGUAACGCGUAGGAAUCUGCCUCAUAGUGGGGGACAACGUGGGGAAACCCACGCUAAUACCGCAUACGCCCUACGGGGGAAAGCGGGGGUUCUUUGGACCUCGCGCUAUGAGAUGAGCCUGCGUUAGAUUAGCUAGUUGGUAGGGUAAAGGCCUACCAAGGCGACGAUUUAUAGCUGGUCUGAGAGGACGAUCAGCCACACUGGGACUGAGAUACGGCCCAGACUCCUACGGGAGGCAGCAGUGGGGAAUAUUGGACAAUGGGCGCAAGCCUGAUCCAGCAAUACCGCGUGUGUGAAGAAGGCCCUAGGGUUGUAAAGCACUUUCAAUGGGGAGGAAAACCUGCCGGUCAAUACCCGGUAGCUUGACAUUACCUUUAGAAGAAGCACCGGCUAACUCCGUGCCAGCAGCCGCGGUAAUACGGAGGGUGCGAGCGUUAAUCGGAAUUACUGGGCGUAAAGCGUGCGUAGGCGGUUCGUUAAGUCAGAUGUGAAAGCCCUGGGCUCAACCUGGGAACUGCAUUUGAAACUGGCGUAUUAGAGUUGAGUAGAGGGGAGUGGAAUUUCAGGUGUAGCGGUGAAAUGCGUAGAUAUCUGAAGGAACACCAGUGGCGAAGGCGACUCCCUGGACUCAAACUGACGCUGAGGUACGAAAGCGUGGGUAGCAAACAGGAUUAGAUACCCUGGUAGUCCACGCUGUAAACGAUGUCAACUAGCCGUUGGUCCUAUUUACAGGAUUAGUGGCGCAGCUAACGCAUUAAGUUGACCGCCUGGGGAGUACGGCCGCAAGGUUA